RNAcentral lists this ribosomal RNA (405 nucleotides) under uncultured prokaryote. RNAcentral's name for it is "bacterial SSU rRNA". It matches the Rfam family "Bacterial small subunit ribosomal RNA", at positions 355 to 776 of the family's 1533-position model. The record is from RNAcentral. RNAcentral also lists the same sequence under 1 other name.
UGGGGAAUAUUGCACAAUGGGCGAAAGCCUGAUGCAGCAACGCCGCGUGAGCGAUGAAGGCCUUUGGGUCGUAAAGCUCUGUCCUUGGGGAAGAAGAAAUGACGGUACCCUUGGAGGAAGCCCCGGCUAACUACGUGCCAGCAGCCGCGGUAAUACGUAGGGGGCAAGCGUUAUCCGGAAUUAUUGGGCGUAAAGAGUGCGUAGGUGGUUCUGUAAGCGCGGGGUGAAAGGCUAAGGCUUAACCAUAGUAAGCCUUGCGAACUGCAGGACUUGAGUGCAGGAGAGGAAAGCGGAAUUCCUAGUGUAGCGGUGAAAUGCGUAGAUAUUAGGAGGAACACCAGUGGCGAAGGCGGCUUUCUGGACUGUAACUGACACUGAGGCACGAAAGCGUGGGGAGCAAACAGG